UACGAAGGGGGCUAGCGUUGCUCGGAAUCACUGGGCGUAAAGCGCACGUAGGCGGCUUUCUAAGUCAGGGGUGAAAUCCUGGAGCUCAACUCCAGAACUGCCUUUGAUACUGGAAAGCUUGAGUUCGAGAGAGGUGAGUGGAACUGCGAGUGUAGAGGUGAAAUUCGUAGAUAUUCGCAAGAACACCAGUGGCGAAGGCGGCUCACUGGCUCGAUACUGACGCUGAGGUGCGAAAGCGUGGGGAGCAAACAGG
Molecule: ribosomal RNA, 253 nt
Filed under: uncultured bacterium
Lineage: Bacteria
Description: partial 16S ribosomal RNA
Rfam family: Bacterial small subunit ribosomal RNA
Source: RNAcentral